GAUGAAACACCGCCAUCUACCGGACAUGCGUAUAAACGACACCUACAGGAUCCUUACUAGCUUGUUUACACCACGAGAGAUUCAACUGGCAAAAUUCCCUUUACGACGUACUAAUGAGAAAAAAAGCCAUUUGGACGAUGAGAAGCGCGUGUUCCGCUGCUCUGUCACUGGGGCCGGUGCGAGGGGCACUGCAGGGGCGCUGGACAAUUACCACAAGUCACACGGCAUCACCUCAAUCAGAAGUGGCCUGGAGCGGCACACUUUCCUGUGGCUCUAUUUCUGGGAUGGUGCAAUAAAAGGUAGAUUGAAUUGGUCGUAGAAUGGAGGUUCCUGCCGUAAACCACAGCUAUACACAUCCACAGCCAUGGGCCGGACAGAGUCCCAGGACCCCAACCAUACCUCCACCCAGCUGUCCAUUUCCUUCAUAUCACUAUCCAAACCUGAACCCAGAUCAGCAGAGUGUGACCCCCAUGACCCAAACGACAGGAACCGCAGCAGGCCAUCGGCCUCAGUCACUGCAAAGCUACCAAGGAGUGUUCAAGCCUGUUCCUGAGAUUACAAAUAAGACGAAUCAAGGAAUGCCACAGAGAAGCUACUCAUUACCAACGAGUCCAGUGUCAAAUUCUAAGACAGAGUCUCGAUACGGCCUGGAUCCUCAGCUUCUGCCCAGUGUGGUAAAUGAGCCGGCCCUCUUAUUCUGUAAUGUUUCCAUCAAGACAGCUCAGGUUUGAUUGCACUGUUGUGCAUGGCUGUGUUAUUUUGUCUCAGUGUCUAAAUGUCUCUUAAAUGUUCAGGUCCAGGUGAUUAAAGAGGACAGGAUCCAGUGGGAGGGGAAAGUGUUUGUUUCAGAAUGCAAAUCUUCAGUUCCCCUUCUUCCUGGGCAGAGUUCUACAGGAAAUGUCACUUUUCAACCCUGAGUCGGAUGGAUCCGGCUCACAAGAGCUUUCUGUUUCUGCAGGGCUGAAGAUUCUUCAGGCAAGAGCCUUAAUAUGAGUCUUAAACAUGCACAUGCCCUUGGAUAGUGCUACUA
This 1030-nucleotide long non-coding RNA is filed under the name Sinocyclocheilus grahami. RNAcentral describes it as "lncRNA (ENSSGRG00000028528.1)". The record is from RNAcentral. Lineage: Eukaryota; Metazoa; Chordata; Actinopteri; Cypriniformes; Cyprinidae.